UACAGCCUCUGACUGGUUCUAAAGCAGCUUUCCCAAGGCAGGAGGAGGGGGAGACGCCGCCUGGACUCCGAGAAGUUGGGGCGAGCUGAAUUCUAAGUGUCUAGAAGGGGCCUAGCACAGAACCGGUGCUCGAGAAAUAUUUGUGAAAGGAAUGAGAGAGAUGCAGUAAAUACAUGCAGCCUCUGUCUCCCACUGACUGUAAAACCUGGGCGGAGUAUACGAUACAGUUAUUUGAAGUCUCUGAACACUGCACCUCCUUCCCCAGCACCCCUCGUCACCCACCCUUUCUGAGCGGAGCUGGCCAGUGACUCUGUGUUGACCCAGCAAAGCUGUGCCCAGUUCUCCAGGGACCUUGUGUGUGUAUGUGUGCGCAUGUGACCAAGUCCCCUCUGCUUGUAACAACGAUACUUAGAUAUCCUAGUCUCACUUCCCGUCUGGACAUAAAGAAGGAAUUUAUUCAGAGAAUGAGGCUCGCAGCAGCAUGCAAUGUGUGUACAGCUAAAGCUCAGGCUUUCUAAACUCUGACUCCCUGCCCAGUGCUCUUCAGUGACAGCCUGCCUUUGGGUUUGGGUCCACGUCAAAAAGCCCAAGAGGUCCCCAGGAUCUAGGUUGCGGUUAGGGGGACCCGGAUGUGGGGCCGGAUGGAUGGGCUGGCGUCGUGACAAGCAUGCGAUGUCGUGGAGAAGAUGCUGCAGGUGUUUGGAGAACCAGCGUCAGAGGCUCUCUGGUGGCCAGGAGGGGCCGCCAGCUGGACUCAGUGGCCCUGUUGAUGUGGAUGCUGGAGGAAAGCUGGCAGAAAUCCCAGCAGACCCUUCACUGCCCUUGAUCAAUGACCAUGGGCCCUGCCCUCCUCCAGAGGGUUGAAAGGAACGGGAAAGCAAAUCCAGACCACGGCUCAUCCAGAGCCUGGAGGCUGAGCCGGGUACAGCAGCGGAGGAUGAAAUGCCCCACGAGCACCCCUUUCAGGAAUGUCAGCCGGAGAAAUGCACAGACUGUCAGGAGCAUUUCUUAGGCACUUGCCCAGGCUGCCUUGGCCCCGCAGGACUCACCUCCACCAUCUCACUGCCUACGGGAAGCCCGGAAAUAGGUCAGCUUGAAGGGAGGAGGCGCUGUGGGGGCUCGGGGGGCUCAGAGGCGAGGGCCCAGGCCCCCAUCCUGGCACAGCUGCCCCACUGAGCCUGCGCUCAAGGAGAUGAGGGGAAGGGCUGCUCUAGAGGGUCAAGUUCCUGCCAGACCCGCCAUUGAACUGAGCUCUAUGGAAGAACAAAAAUAAAAGCCUGUCAGAGGCCCGCUGACUCAGAGCAGUGGCGCUGGCCUUGGCCGGCUGUUCCUGCUCCUGACCUAGCCGCUUGGUCCAGAUGCCCUUGCUACAUAGCCUCCCUUCGCAGUGAACUCUCCCCGAAGCCCACUUGGUUCCAAUCCCGAGCCCCCAGACCCAAGUUUGCUUGCCCGCCUCUGCAUCCAUCCCCCAUCUGUAAAGUGGGGGUAACAGGAAUACUCACGCACUGGGUGGUCCUCAGGAUUAAACCUCAGGGUUAAAAGUCAAGUACUUCGAACUGGUAAGUGCCUGGUAAAUGUGUGAGCUGCCACUAGUGCUACUAUUAUUUUUUCUUCCUUCUUCGGCCACACCAGUGGCAUAUGGAAGUUCCCCAGG
This is a non-coding RNA of Sus scrofa (pig), 1654 nucleotides long. The record is from RefSeq and is a predicted model, not a curated record. NCBI's taxonomy places the organism in Eukaryota, Metazoa, Chordata, Mammalia, Artiodactyla, Suidae.